Molecule: ribosomal RNA, 492 nt
Filed under: uncultured bacterium
Lineage: Bacteria
Description: partial 16S ribosomal RNA
Rfam family: Bacterial small subunit ribosomal RNA
Source: RNAcentral
AAUGAACGCUGGCGGUAGGCCUAACACAUGCAAGUCGAACGGCAGCACAGUAAGAGCUUGCUCUUACGGGUGGCGAGUGGCGGACGGGUGAGGAAUACAUCGGAAUCUACUUUUUCGUGGGGGAUAACGUAGGGAAACUUACGCUAAUACCGCAUACGACCUACGGGUGAAAGCAGGGGAUCUUCGGACCUUGCGCGAUUGAAUGAGCCGAUGUCGGAUUAGCUAGUUGGCGGGGUAAAGGCCCACCAAGGCGACGAUCCGUAGCUGGUCUGAGAGGAUGAUCAGCCACACUGGAACUGAGACACGGUCCAGACUCCUACGGGAGGCAGCAGUGGGGAAUAUUGGCCAAUGGGCGCAAGCCUGAUCCAGCCAUACCGCGUGGGUGAAGAAGGCCUUCGGGUUGUAAAGCCCUUUUGUUGGGAAAGAAAAGCAGCAGGUUAAUACCCCGCUGUUCUGGCGGUACCCAAAGAAUAAGCACCGGCUAACUUCGUG